CUAGGGCACUCUCGCGGGACAAUGGGUGUCACGGCAGCCAGCGACCGUUUGUCAUUCACAGCUGCCUGAAAGGAGGACCGCAGUAUUCCCACGCAGGAAGCUUGGACCAAAAGCAGGAAUGCUUAAGGGCGCAUAUGACUUGCCAUGGUAAAAAACAGGAUGCCAACCCAGGCCUGAUGACAUCCACCUCACUAAAAGCUCAGGACUAGGACUUUCUGCUUUAAACAAGGAUCCACAUGUGGGUGUUUUCUGUGGGAGAGGGAGAGAGGACAUUCAAAGGGCAGAAGUCUGACCUUUGCAAGCACACAUGAACCACACCAAUGAGAAAUGAAUGGAUGAGCCAGAUGCCAAAUUAUAAAUUUCCUACUGCACACCUUGAAUGUGAAAGUACAUGUGGCCGACAAAGAGAAGGGAAGAUGGAGCCACCAUCUUCAACAGGAGUGGCACAACUGUCGGAUCUAUGUCUGCAGCUGGAUUUUACAGGCUGCUCUUCGUUAGAAAGGGAAACUUUACGGAGGACUUCCAUGCCUUCACUAUCUGCCUAAGUAAAUUCUUCUUAACUCCUGUA
This 568-nucleotide long non-coding RNA is filed under the name Pan troglodytes (chimpanzee). RNAcentral describes it as "lincRNA". Lineage: Eukaryota; Metazoa; Chordata; Mammalia; Primates; Hominidae. The record is from RNAcentral.